UGGGGAAUUUUGGACAAUGGGCGAAAGCCUGAUCCAGCCAUGCCGCGUGUGUGAAGAAGGUCUUCGGAUUGUAAAGCACUUUAAGUUGGGAGGAAGGGUUGUAGAUUAAUACUCUGCAAUUUUGACGUUACCGACAGAAUAAGCACCGGCUAACUCUGUGCCAGCAGCCGCGGUAAUACAGAGGGUGCAAGCGUUAAUCGGAAUUACUGGGCGUAAAGCGCGCGUAGGUGGUUUGUUAAGUUGGAUGUGAAAUCCCCGGGCUCAACCUGGGAACUGCAUCCAAAACUGGCAAGCUAGAGUAUGGUAGAGGGUGGUGGAAUUUCCUGUGUAGCGGUGAAAUGCGUAGAUAUAGGAAGGAACACCAGUGGCGAAGGCGACCACCUGGACUGAUACUGACACUGAGGUGCGAAAGCGUGGGGAGCAAACAGGAUUAGAUACCCGCGUAGUCCCUGAGCGGGCUGGCAAGGCGCAU
RNAcentral lists this ribosomal RNA (472 nucleotides) under uncultured bacterium. RNAcentral describes it as "bacterial SSU rRNA". It matches the Rfam family "Bacterial small subunit ribosomal RNA", at positions 355 to 825 of the family's 1533-position model. The record is from RNAcentral.